Molecule: long non-coding RNA, 1174 nt
Organism: Fukomys damarensis (Damara mole-rat)
Lineage: Eukaryota; Metazoa; Chordata; Mammalia; Rodentia; Bathyergidae
Exons: 4
Source: RefSeq, a predicted model, not a curated record
CAGGAGAGGCGUUCGGGUGCUCCCCAGUGUCCUGGUGGUGACCUGAGGUUUGUCCAGAGGAGAGGACGCAGAGCCUCCCCUGGGACCUGCCUCGCCCCACGAUCACACAGCCACACCAGGAGAGGAAACGGAACGCUGGCCCAGGACUUUAUGACUUCAGAAUCCAAGAGAAGAGGAGUUCUGUCAUGGAAGGGAAAGGAAAACAGCUGCCCUUCAUGGCCAUCUGAUUGCCCCACUGUGAAUUUCAAGUUGCCUGGCCUGUAGGAGCGACUCGGAAAAAAAAGGGGAAUUAUUAUCGUAAUUAUCAGGACUAGACCGAACAUAGCGCCUGUGUGAAGCAACUCUGAGUUAAAGUGGCUUGGCUGCUUGCUCCGAGAAAUCCCAGCGCCAGCACAUAAUCCUGUGUCCUCCUCUGUCCCCCGCCUGCCUCAGUGGCCCAAUCCCAACUGGUUUCCUGCGGUAAAGAGCCACUGUCAAAUAGCUCACCCAGGGCCCGUAAAUACCACUCCACAUUCCUCCAGUGGGGAUCUCUGUGGACAAGAUGUGCUCCUGUGCUGCAGGAGGUGUAAUAAACCCAGUUUUGCCUGAUGAACGGGUUUUGCUAUGGAAUUAAGCCAAUGGAAUUAAGGCCUAUGAAGGCAUCAGAAAUGCUUUUGGUUAUUAUUCUGCAAGACAGAAUCCUGCAGUUAUCCUGCAAGUGUGCUUGGCAUGACGGUGGUCACCAAGAGAGGUCCACGUCCAAACCCCCGCAACCCAUGGUUCCCUCCGCCACCCACAGGGAAGGAACUUGGCAGAGCCACGGAGCCACCGAACCACGGAACCACAGAGCCACGGAGCCCGGUAUCAUUUCAGCCUCACGCCUUGCAGACCCGUCAGAGUGUAAAAUUCUUGAAGGCAUAGGCAAGGACUUUCUGGACAGACCCGAAUCAAACAAGAAAUGACAUCAAGAACCAACAAAUGGGUCACAUUGACUUCAAAAGCUUCUGUACACCAUAGGAAACCCUAAAAAAGUGAGGACACAACCUACAGCAUGGGGAAGAUAUUGCCAGCUAUUCCUUGGAUGGAGGACUCAUAUGUAGACUACGUAAAGAACUCAAAAAAAAAAAAAAAAUUAAACCCCCCUCAAAUAAAGGACUCGAUUAAAAAAAUGGGCAACUGGAAUGAAUAGACCCUU